AUGGUCGGUGCCAAGAGACUUGCUCAAUUGGCAAAGAAGUGCCAGAGGGUGGACGCACUUGGGAGGAAGAGGCUCACAGUGUUGGCCAAACAAGAUCAAGACUGCUGCAAUUCAGUACCGGCCAGGGGCCACUGUGUCAUGUACACAGAUGAUGGGAGGCGUUUCGAGGUCCCAUUGGAGUACCUUGGCACGACGAUCUUUGGCGAGCUCCUGAGGAUGUCCCAGGAGGAGUUUGGCUUUGCGAUCGAUGGCAAGAUCACACUGCCCUGUGAUGCUGCAGUGAUGGAGUAUGCCAUAUGCUUGCUAAGGAGAAAUGCCUUCACCGAGGUCGAGGUCGAGAGUGCAUUCCUGAAAACUACCAUGAUGAGUGCCAAGAACCUCGCUCAGCUGGCCAAGAAGUGGCAGAGGGUGGUGGCUAUGGGGAGGAAGAGGCUCACCUCAUCAACAUCAGGGGGGGAAACCGGAGGGCCAUGUGGCACGUCGUGCUCACCUGUGGCUGGCAAGGGCCACUUCGUCGUGUACACUACCGACGGUGCGAGGUUCGAGGUACCGCUUGUGUUCCUCGGCACGACCGUCUUCGACGAGCUCUUGAGGAUGUCCCCAGAGGAGUUCGGCUUCACAGGCGUUGACGGUGACAGAAUCACGCUGCCCUGUGACGCAUCAAUGAUGGAGUAUGCCCUGUGUUUGCUCAGGAGAAGUGCGUCCUCAGAUAUGGAGGCCGCGUUCCUCAACACCAUGGCAAUGCCAUGCCACUAUCAUGCAGAGCCACAUCUCGGAGUUAGCCAGCAUAAUGGUGUUUGCAGCUCCUGA
This 810-nucleotide ribosomal RNA is filed under the name Triticum aestivum (bread wheat). RNAcentral's name for it is "partial small subunit ribosomal RNA". The record is from RNAcentral. Lineage: Eukaryota; Viridiplantae; Streptophyta; Magnoliopsida; Poales; Poaceae.